RNAcentral lists this ribosomal RNA (399 nucleotides) under uncultured bacterium. RNAcentral's name for it is "bacterial SSU rRNA". It matches the Rfam family "Bacterial small subunit ribosomal RNA", at positions 355 to 770 of the family's 1533-position model. The record is from RNAcentral.
UGGGGAAUCUUGGACAAUGGGGGCAACCCUGAUCCAGCCAUGCCGCGUGAGUGAUGAAGGCCUUAGGGUCGUAAAGCUCUUUCGCCUGUGAAGAUAAUGACGGUAGCAGGUAAAGAAACCCCGGCUAACUCCGUGCCAGCAGCCGCGGUAAUACGGAGGGGGUUAGCGUUGUUCGGAAUUACUGGGCGUAAAGCGCACGUAGGCGGACCAGAAAGUUGGGGGUGAAAUCCCGGGGGCUCAACCCCGGAACUGCCUCCAAAACUAUUGGUCUAGAGUUCGAGAGAGGUGAGUGGAAUUCCAAGUGUAGAGGUGAAAUUCGUAGAUAUUAGGAAGAACACCAGUGGCGAAGGCGACUCACUGGACAGGUAUUGACGCUGAGGUGCGAAAGCGUGGGGAGCG